This 868-nucleotide ribosomal RNA is filed under the name uncultured euryarchaeote. RNAcentral describes it as "bacterial SSU rRNA". It matches the Rfam family "Archaeal small subunit ribosomal RNA", at positions 1 to 878 of the family's 1478-position model. Lineage: Archaea; Methanobacteriati; Methanobacteriota. The record is from RNAcentral.
UUCCGGUUGAUCCUGCCGGAGGCUACCGCUAUUGGAGUUCGAUUAAGCCAUGCGAGUCUAGAGGCUUCGGCCUCGGCGUACCGCUCAGUAACACGUGGGUAACCUGCCCUAUGGAGGGGAAUAACCUCGGGAAACUGAGAAUAAUGCCCCAUAGCCCACUACGCCUGGAACGGUGAGUGGGUCAAAGCUCCGGCGCCAUAGGAUGGGCCUGCGCCGUAUCAGGUUGUAGGGGGUGUAAAGUACCCUCUAGCCAUCAACGCGUACGGGUGUUGGGAGACAUUGCCCGGAGAUGGAUUCUGAGACACGAAUCCAGACCCUACGGGGUGCAGCAGGCGCGGAAACUUGGCAAUGCGAGAAAUCGUGACCAGGGAACUCCAAGUGCGUAGGGUAAGACCUACGCUUUUCUUGACUCUUCAAAGGUCUUGGAAUAAGGGGUGGGUAAGGACGGUGCCAGCCGCCGCGGUAAUACCGGCGCCUCAAGUGGUAGUCGCUUUUAUUGGGCCUAAAACGUCCGUAGCCGGUCUGGUGCAUUCGUGGGUAAAUCAACCCGCUCAACGGGUUGAAUUCUGCGAGCACGGCCAGACUUGGGACCGGGAGAGGUGUGGGGUACUCUCAGGGUAGGGGUAAAAUCCUGUCAUCCUGAGAGGACCACCUGUUGCGAAGGCGCCACACUAGAACGGAUCCGACGGUCAGGGACGAAACCUAGGGGCACGAACCGGAUUAGAUACCCGGGUAGUCCUAGGUGUAAACGCUGUGGACUUGGUGUUGGGAAGGUUCCGAGCCUUCUCAGUGCCGAAGCGAAAGUGAUAAGUCCACUGCCUGGGGAGUACGGUCGCAAGGCUGAAACUUAAAGAUUGCGGGGAGGGGA